Molecule: non-coding RNA, 77 nt
Rfam family: Burkholderia sRNA 54
About the family: Identified by RNA-seq, RACE and Northern blot. Strongly expressed in biofilm.
GCAUCUCUCAGGUUCUGACACGGCCCUCGGAAUGGUCAGAAUUUUUUAACCAACCCCUACGCGGUCGGCUUUUUUUU